CUGAUGCGUUGUUGGGUAGGGGAGCGUUCUGUAAGCCUGUGAAGGUGGCCUGUGAGGGUUGCUGGAGGUAUCAGAAGUGCGAAUGCUGACAUAAGUAACGAUAAAGCGGGUGAAAAGCCCGCUCGCCGGAAGACCAAGGGUUCCUGUCCAACGUUAAUCGGGGCAGGGUGAGUCGACCCCUAAGGCGAGGCCGAAAGGCGUAGUCGAUGGGAAACGGGUUAAUAUUCCCGUACUUGGUGUUACUGCGAAGGGGGGACGGAGAAGGCUAUGUUGGCCGGGCGACGGUUGUCCCGGUUUAAGCGUGUAGGUGUGUGUUCCAGGUAAAUCCGGUUCACUUUAACACUGAGGCGUGAUGACGAGGCACUACGGUGCUGAAGCAACAAAUGCCCUGCUUCCAGGAAAAGCCUCUAAGCAUCAGGUAACAUCAAAUCGUACCCCAAACCGACACAGGUGGUCAGGUAGAGAAUACCAAGGCGCUUGAGAGAACUCGGGUGAAGGAACUAGGCAAAAUGGUGCCGUAACUUCGGGAGAAGGCACGCUGACACGUAGGUGAAGUGAUUUACUCAUGGAGCUGAAGUCAGUCGAAGAUACCAGCUGGCUGCAACUGUUUAUUAAAAACACAGCACUGUGCAAACACGAAAGUGGACGUAUACGGUGUGACGCCUGCCCGGUGCCGGAAGGUUAAUUGAUGGGGUCAGCGCAAGCGAAGCUCCUGAUCGAAGCCCCGGUAAACGGCGGCCGUAACUAUAACGGUCCUAAGGUAGCGAAAUUCCUUGUCGGGUAAGUUCCGACCUGCACGAAUGGCGUAAUGAUGGCCAGGCUGUCUCCACCCGAGACUCAGUGAAAUUGAACUCGCUGUGAAGAUGCAGUGUACCCGCGGCAAGACGGAAAGACCCCGUGAACCUUUACUAUAGCUUGACACUGAACAUUGAGCCUUGAUGUGUAGGAUAGGUGGGAGGCUUUGAAGUGUGG
This 972-nucleotide ribosomal RNA is filed under the name Salmonella enterica. Its description in RNAcentral is "partial 23S ribosomal RNA". It matches the Rfam family "Bacterial large subunit ribosomal RNA", at positions 1213 to 2167 of the family's 2925-position model. The record is from RNAcentral. Lineage: Bacteria; Pseudomonadati; Pseudomonadota; Gammaproteobacteria; Enterobacterales; Enterobacteriaceae.